Molecule: ribosomal RNA, 469 nt
Filed under: uncultured bacterium
Lineage: Bacteria
Description: partial 16S ribosomal RNA
Rfam family: Bacterial small subunit ribosomal RNA
Source: RNAcentral
GAUGAACGCUGGCGGCGUGCUUAACACAUGCAAGUCGAACGGUGAACACGGAGCUUGCUCUGUUGGAUCAGUGGCGAACGGGUGAGUAACACGUGAGCAACCUGCCCCUGACUCUGGGAUAAGCUCUGGAAACUGCGGCUAAUACUGGAUAUGUGACGUGACCGCAUGGUCUGCGUUUGGAAAGAUUGUUCGGUUGGGGAUGGGCUCGCGGCCUGUCAGCUUUUUGGGGGGGUAAUGGCUUACCAAGGCUUCGGCGGGUAACCGGCCCGGGGGGGUGACCGGCCACAUUGGGGCUGGAGAAACGGCCCAGCCUCUUACGGGAGGCAGCGGUGGGGAAUAUUGAACAAUGGCCGCAAGCCUGAUGCAGAAACGCGGCGGGGGGGAUGCCGGCCUCCGGGUUGUAAACCUCUUUGAGCGGGGAAGAGGCGAAGGUGACGGAACCUGUAGAAAAAGCGCGGGCGAAUUACGG